UACAGAGGUCCCAAGCGUUGUUCGGAUUCACUGGGCGUAAAGGGUGCGUAGGCGGCUGGGUAAGCCUGACGUGAAAUCUCCAAGCUCAACUUGGAAACGGCGUUGGAUACUAUCCAGCUCGAGGAAUGGAGGGGAGACUGGAAUACUUGGUGUAGCAGUGAAAUGCGUAGAUAUCAAGUGGAACACCAGUGGCGAAGGCGAGUCUCUAGACAUUUCCUGACGCUGAGGCACGAAAGCCAGGGGAGCAAACGGG
RNAcentral lists this ribosomal RNA (253 nucleotides) under uncultured prokaryote. Its description in RNAcentral is "partial 16S ribosomal RNA". It matches the Rfam family "Bacterial small subunit ribosomal RNA", at positions 524 to 776 of the family's 1533-position model. The record is from RNAcentral.